Molecule: ribosomal RNA, 372 nt
Filed under: uncultured bacterium
Lineage: Bacteria
Description: bacterial SSU rRNA
Rfam family: Bacterial small subunit ribosomal RNA
Source: RNAcentral
UACGGGGGAUGCAAGCGUUAUCCGGAUUUAUUGGGUUUAAAGGGUGCGUAGGCGGUCUGUCAAGUCGGCGGUGAAAACAGCAUGCUAAACAUGGUGCUUGCCGUCGAGACUGGUGGGCUUGAAUGUGGAUGAUGCCGGCGGAAUGUGUAAAGUAGCGGUGAAAUGCAUAGAUAUUACACAGAAGGUCGAUUGCGAAAGCAGCUGGCAAAGGCACUAUUGACGCUGAGGCACGAAAGUGCGGGGAUCGAACAGGAUUAGAUACCCUGGUAGUCCGCACAGUAAACGAUGAUAACUAACUGUCGGCGAUACACAGUCGGUGGUAAAGAGAAAUCGAUAAGUUAUCCACCUGGGGAGUACGACCGCAAGGUUGAA